GUUUCCAUUUAUGUGUUAGCAAUAUCUCCAGCCUGCAACUGUCUUCUAAGGGACUUGGAUGAAUCUGGAAACCAUAAUUCUCAGCAAAGUGACACAAGAACAGAAAAUCAAACACCGUAUGUUCUUACUCAUAGUGAGAAUUUCCUGUACUAGUCUUCAUUCAUUUACUAUAGGUCUGAAAACCUACGGGAGUGAUUUUAUUAUUUAUAUGACCCUCUACUUAAUAGAAAACACAGCCCUAUAAACAUGAAAUU
This 254-nucleotide long non-coding RNA is filed under the name Callithrix jacchus (white-tufted-ear marmoset). Its description in RNAcentral is "lncRNA (ENSCJAG00000081413.1)". The record is from RNAcentral. Lineage: Eukaryota; Metazoa; Chordata; Mammalia; Primates; Cebidae.